GGUGACUCCCCACGCGGCGUUAUCUCGCAAAACUCCCCCAGGGUCGGAAGGCAGCAAGGGUAUGCGGGCUCUGACGGGUGCGUGGGGCGUCUUUUUU
RNAcentral lists this signal recognition particle RNA (97 nucleotides) under Actinobaculum suis. RNAcentral's name for it is "Bacterial small signal recognition particle RNA". It matches the Rfam family "Bacterial small signal recognition particle RNA". Rfam says of the family: The signal recognition particle (SRP) is a universally conserved ribonucleoprotein involved in the co-translational targeting of proteins to membranes. Lineage: Bacteria; Bacillati; Actinomycetota; Actinomycetes; Actinomycetales; Actinomycetaceae. The record is from Rfam by way of RNAcentral.